AAGAGCCACAGCAUUUAGCUGUGUAAAAGUAGCAUAAUCAUUCGUCUUUUAAAUGAAGACUUGUAUGAACGGCAACACGAGAGUUUAACUGUCUCAUUCUCUUAGUCAAUGAAACUGAACUUUUCGUGCAAAUGCGAUAAUAAAAACAUAAGACGAAAAGACCCUGUGGAGCUUCAGAAGCUAAACAAUUCUAAUAAAUACUCAACUAUCUUAGGUCCUGUUAACCUUCUUAGGUUGGGGCGACCCUGGAGAAAAAUUAAACCUCCAUGAAAAACAUCUAAAUUUUAAAAGGCCUACUACCCUAAUUUCAGAACCUCUGUUUAAACGACCCAGUCUACAAGACUGAUUAACGAAUCAAGUUACCCCAGGGAUAACAGCGCUAUCCCCUUUAAAAGUCCCCAUCGACAAGGGUGUUUACGACCUCGAUGUUGGAUCAGGACAUCCCAAU
This 448-nucleotide ribosomal RNA is filed under the name Pituna poranga. RNAcentral describes it as "partial 16S ribosomal RNA". It matches the Rfam family "Bacterial large subunit ribosomal RNA", at positions 1926 to 2551 of the family's 2925-position model. Lineage: Eukaryota; Metazoa; Chordata; Actinopteri; Cyprinodontiformes; Rivulidae. The record is from RNAcentral.